Molecule: ribosomal RNA, 253 nt
Filed under: uncultured bacterium
Lineage: Bacteria
Description: partial 16S ribosomal RNA
Rfam family: Bacterial small subunit ribosomal RNA
Source: RNAcentral
UACGUAGGGGGCAAGCGUUGUCCGGAAUCAUUGGGCGUAAAGAGCGUGUAGGCGGCCCGAUAAGUCCGCCGUGAAAGUCCAGGGCUCAACCCUGGAAUGCCGGUGGAAACGGUCGGGCUGGAGUCCGGAAGAGGCGAGUGGAAUUCCUGGUGUAGCGGUGAAAUGCGCAGAUAUCAGGAGGAACACCGGUGGCGAAGGCGGGUCUCUGGACAGUUCCUGACACUGAGACACGAAGGCCAGGGGAGCAAACGGG